RNAcentral lists this ribosomal RNA (484 nucleotides) under uncultured bacterium. RNAcentral's name for it is "partial 16S ribosomal RNA". It matches the Rfam family "Bacterial small subunit ribosomal RNA", at positions 30 to 507 of the family's 1533-position model. The record is from RNAcentral.
AUUGAACGCUGGCGGAAUGCUUUACACAUGCAAGUCGAGCGGCAGCGCGGCCUUCGGGCUGGCGGCGAGCGGCGAACGGGUGAGUAAUGCAUCGGAACAUGCCCAGUCGUGGGGGAUAACACUUCGAAAGAAGUGCUAAUACCGCAUACGUCCUGAGGGGGAAAGCGGGGGAUCGCAAGACCUCGCGCGAUUGGAGUGGCCGAUGUCAGAUUAGCUAGUUGGUGGGGUAAAGGCCUACCAAGGCGACGAUCUGUAGCUGGUCUGAGAGGAUGAUCAGCCACACUGGGACUGAGACACGGCCCAGACUCCUACGGGAGGCAGCAGUGGGGAAUUUUGGACAAUGGGGGCAACCCUGAUCCAGCCAUUCCGCGUGAGUGAAGAAGGCCUUCGGGUUGUAAAGCUCUUUCGGCAGGAACGAAACGGUGGGUUCUAACAUAGUCCGCUAAUGACGGUACCUGAAGAAGAAGCACCGGCUAACUACGUG